Molecule: ribosomal RNA, 357 nt
Filed under: uncultured bacterium
Lineage: Bacteria
Description: bacterial SSU rRNA
Rfam family: Bacterial small subunit ribosomal RNA
Source: RNAcentral
AGAGUUUGAUCAUGGCUCAGGAUGAACGCUAGCUACAGGCUUAACACAUGCAAGUCGAGGGGAAACGAUAUUGGAAGCUUGCUUCCGAUAGGCGUCGACCGGCGUACGGGUGAGUAACGCGGUAUCCAACCUGCCCACCACUCGGGGAUAACCUUGCGAAAGUAAGACUAAUACCCAAUGACGUCUCUAGAAGACAUCUGAAAGAGAUUAAAGAUUUAUCGGUGAUGGAUGGGGAUGCGUCUGAUUAGCUUGUUAGCGGGGUAACGGCCCACCAAGGCGACGAUCAGUAGGGGUUCUGAGAGGAAGGCCCCCCACAUUGGAACUGAGACACGGUCCAAACUCCUACGGGAGGCAGCA